AUUGCAAGCUGUCUUAUCGCCUCUGGUUUUCCAGGGGAGGAAAGUCCGGGCAACACAGAGCACCGUACCUGUGGAAACACAGGGUUCCGAUUGGUAAUGGAUCGGAAACAGAAAGUGCCACAGAAAAAAUGUAGCCUUAGUUGAGUAGUUCUGCUACUCUUCAGAGGUCAUAGUGAAAAGGCGAGGUAAGAGCUCACCGUUUUUGGUAGUAAUACCAGAAUGCAUGGUAAACCUUUCGGGUUGUAAGGCCACAUACAUUUUUGCCUCUCGUCCGAAGAAAUUCUGGAAGAGAAUAAGGGCUGCUCGUCCGAAAUGUUGUUGUUCGACAACAACAGGUGAAAAGGGGUAGGCUGCGUUAGAUAAAUGAUAGGAGUUCCGGUGGAUUUAUUCACUGGUUUACAGAACCCGGCUUAUAGGCUUGCAAUUUUA
This 429-nucleotide RNase P RNA is filed under the name Marivirga lumbricoides. Its description in RNAcentral is "Marivirga sp. JLT2000 Bacterial RNase P class A". It matches the Rfam family "Bacterial RNase P class A". Rfam says of the family: Ribonuclease P (RNase P) is a ubiquitous endoribonuclease, found in archaea, bacteria and eukarya as well as chloroplasts and mitochondria. Its best characterised activity is the generation of mature 5'-ends of tRNAs by cleaving the 5'-leader elements of precursor-tRNAs. Cellular RNase Ps are ribonucleoproteins. Lineage: Bacteria; Pseudomonadati; Bacteroidota; Cytophagia; Cytophagales; Marivirgaceae. The record is from Rfam by way of RNAcentral.